Long non-coding RNA from Acinonyx jubatus (cheetah), 1570 nucleotides. RefSeq lists it as uncharacterized. The transcript has 2 exons. NCBI's taxonomy places the organism in Eukaryota, Metazoa, Chordata, Mammalia, Carnivora, Felidae. The record is from RefSeq and is a predicted model, not a curated record.
UUAAGGAGCUGCAGUGUCCUGCCAGAAGGAACGUCUCUGCUUGGAAUAGUCCUUAUUGACAUGGCAGCUGUGUGAAGACCGGAACGGAGGUUUAAACUCCGCUCUAAAAAUCAGUUAAUACCCUCAAGUCUGGAGCAAGUGCGCAGAAUUAAAAUGUGUGUGUAGGGGGUGGAGGGUCUGUAAGUACAGCCGCCUGUCUUCAAAGACAAACGGUAACCGCCACGCGCGCACAACUUGUUUAUGGAAAAGGCCAAUGCACUAGUUGCUGGUGGGGUUUCUCGGCGGGAUCGAUAUAAGGCCUCAGCUCAAAAAUUUCUGUGUGGAACCCACUUGUUUCUCUUAUGGCUUGGAGAGAGAUGCACUGGGUCUCCCGGCCCUGCUUUCUCGGAAUUCCUUUGCCUUCAAGAACCACAGCGGGGAUCCUACUCUACCUACAGAUACUUGGAAGGAAAGAGCAUCGAGAGGUGCUUCUUCAAUAAAUUAGCGUCGCCGCUCUAGGGCAGUGAGGAGACUCCCCAAAUCCUGGCUGAAGUGACAACAUUCAUCUUUUUUCUCCGCUUGGUCGGAAACUCCGGGUGCCCUCGACCCUUGGGAUCCCGGGAUCCGACGGCCAGCGCGGCGCCGCGGCGGGAGAAGCCGCCCACCUGCCUCCUGGGGGGACGCUGCUCCCCGCGAGGUCUGAAUAGGCCGAGGGCUCAGGCAGGGAGAUUUGCGGACCCCGAGAAGAGAAACUCAAAACCAGUCCAUUAGUAAAUGAGUUUUGUGUUGUCAAGGUUCUUUCCCAUCCACUUGCUGUUCUGAAAAAUAGAUCACGUUUCGUUAUCUUUAGUGGGAAUCUGCAACGUGACACCGGAUCCGCGCGGCCCCCGCCUCUCUGCCUCCCUCCCUUCCAGGCUCGUUCGGCGGGGCCAAGGGGAGCCGGUCGGCCUCCUCGGCUUGUUCCCGAACAAUGAAGAUUUGUCUGUUCCCCUAAUAUAUUUAUAUAUGUAAGGAGGGAGAGAGUUUUCUCCUGGAAGCGGGAAGCCGCGAGUGGAGCCUCCCGCUUCCUUGGUGAAAAAACCCAGCGCCAGCCCACGACGCCGGGAGACCGCCGCCCCCCGCCCACACCUGGACAAACAGAGCGGGCUUCGAGUCCGGCUUGCUGCUAAAAACCCUGCCGCCCCGCGCGGCUCCUGGAAAUACAGGCUCCGCAUUGUCCCGGGGUCGGGGAAAGGAAAGAGAGAAAGGCUAGUACUGAGAGACAGCGCUGCGAGGGAAGUCAGAUUGGAGGACAGAGCUGGGGUGUGUGCCUGGGGGUUUACCGACCCCUCUGUGUGCAUCCCCCUCCGCGUCUGCUCUCUCUCGGUCUAACUUAUUGUCUCUUUUCGAUCUGGAAGAGGAAACUCGUUUAUUUUGUGUGCCAACCUGGUCUAUCAUUUCUCUUUCAUUCUCUUUCCUCUGCCCCAUCCUCUCUCCCUCUUUCCCUCACUCUCAUUCUCCUGGUCUCUUGUUUCUCUCUGUCUCUGUCUCUCUCUCUCUCUGUGUGUGUCUCUCUCACACAGACACACACACACAGACACACACACACACA